CUACGGGCCGCAGCAGUGGGGAAUUUUGGACAAUGGGGGCAACCCUGAUCCAGCCAUUCCGCGUGAGUGAAGAAGGCCUUCGGGUUGUAAAGUUCUUUCGGCAGGAACGAAACGGCGGGCUCUAACAUAGCCUGUCAAUGACGGUACCUGAAGAAGAAGCACCGGCUAACUACGUGCCAGCAGCCGCGGUAAUACGUAGGGUGCGAGCGUUAAUCGGAAUUACUGGGCGUAAAGCGUGCGCAGGCGGUUAUGUAAGACAGAUGUGAAAUCCCCGGGCUUAACCUGGGAACUGCGUUUGUGACUGCAUAACUCGAGUGUGGCAGAGGGGGUGGAAUUCCACGUGUAGCAGUGAAAUGCGUAGAGAUGUGGAGGAACACCGAUGGCGAAGGCAGCCCCCUGGGUUAACACUGACGCUCAUGCACGAAAGCGUGGGGAGCAAACAGGAUUAGAUACCCCCGUAGUC
RNAcentral lists this ribosomal RNA (463 nucleotides) under uncultured bacterium. RNAcentral describes it as "partial 16S ribosomal RNA". It matches the Rfam family "Bacterial small subunit ribosomal RNA", at positions 339 to 795 of the family's 1533-position model. The record is from RNAcentral.